CCUACGGGUGGCAGCAGUGGGGGAUAUUGCGCAAUGGGGGAAACCCUGACGCAGCAACGCCGCGUGAAGGAAGAAGGCCUUCGGGUCGUAAACUUUUGUCCUCAGGGAAGAAUAACUGACGGUACCUGAGGAGGAAGCCACGGCUAACUACGUGCCAGCAGCCGCGGUAAUACGUAGGUGGCGAGCGUUGUCCGGAAUUACUGGGUGUAAAGGGCGUGUAGGCGGGGAUGCAAGUCAGAUGUGAAAUUCCGGGGCUCAACCCCGGCACUGCAUCUGAAACUGUGUCUCUUGAGUGCUGGAGAGGAAAGUGGAAUUCCUAAUGUAGCGGUGAAAUGCGUAGAGAUUAGGAGGAACACCAGUGGCGAAGGCGACUUUCUGGACAGUAACUGACGCUGAGGCGCGAGAGCGUGGGGAGCAAACAGGAUUAGAUACCCUGGUAGUC
RNAcentral lists this ribosomal RNA (442 nucleotides) under uncultured bacterium. RNAcentral's name for it is "bacterial SSU rRNA". It matches the Rfam family "Bacterial small subunit ribosomal RNA", at positions 338 to 795 of the family's 1533-position model. The record is from RNAcentral.